AGGGUUUCCAUGAAGCUACUGGAGUCUGAUCACAUUUCAAUCACCAAAACCUUCCGAUUAUGCAGCCGAAGCGUAGUCAUAGUCACCAUCAUCAUCAUCAUCAUCAUCAUCAUCAUCAUCAUCAUCAUCUCCAUCCCCAUCUUCAGCUUUUAAUAGCUGCAUAUUAUGCAAAUGACUAUAAAGAACACUGCUAUCUCCAUGAAGACCGUGGAGCAGUUUGUACUUGAAGCCAAUAAUCUCUAAUAAAGAAUUAUUAUGCAAUUAUAAUUCUAUCAAAAUUAAGGCAAAAGGAAAAUUUGGACACCCUUCUUUGGGAAGAAAAUUAAAGGUGUAUGUAUAGAGAGUAAAGGGGAGGUGUAAAGUUAUAUAUAGAGGGGCUUUGCUGUAAUGCAGCAGCCAUUAAAGGCUGACUCGUGGAGAAGGUGUGCUAAAGUGGCUUAGAAGUGUGCAUUCAACGUGGAAAUAUGUGUCAUAUUGGUGUCUAGUUGCCAGGUUCUUGUGAACACGUGCAUUCUAGUGCAACACAUUCGAUUCUUAUGACAUGUACUUCGAAUUUCGAGUCAAACAAGAUUAAGUCCCUGUUUAAAUGAGAUUUUUUUUAGAAUAGAUUUUAUGAAAAGUGAGUUUGUUUUAGAAACGUGAUUAUGAAAUAUGAAAAAGUUACAAAUCCACUACAAAAAUACUUUAUGAGUAGAUUUUGUGGUUUAAAAUGAGUUUUAAAAAAUUUGGGUCAAAUCGUAAUUAAUGUGCAUAACUUGAAUCUUAUUUUACAUCCAAUCUUCAGCCUGAAUUUUUCUUUUUGGGGCUCUAUCACUUUUGGUACUGUCCAAAAAAGCUUGCUUGCUUCAUAUCUAUUAAUAAUUGAACAUGCUAUGUCUAUUAGAUGUUGAAUUGAAGAGUAAUUAGUUUGAGCAUUAGAUAUUGUUGACGAUAAAAAUACUAAUUGAUCAAAAUAGGCAAAUUAGGCAAGCAUAUCUAAGACCUGAAUGUCACAUAUUGUUUUACAUUUUAAUAUUAAAAAAUAUAUAAUUUAUUAUUUUAGGGAUAUGAAAGGUUGGGGAGUUACAUUUUAUUAUAUUAUCUUGGAGUUGAGGUCGUUAAGUAGAAUUAUGGUGAUUAUGUUUUUCAUGUGUAUGGUUUGAAGGAGUUUAUGGGUUAUAACUUAUAAGGGGUUAUGGGAUUUAAUUUUUAUAUAAUCCUAUUGCAGUAAAACCUCAAUAAUAUUCGAUAUCCUGUAGAUUAAUGACAUCAAUUUAAAUAAUAAUUUUGGCUGGUCCCGAAUUGGGAAUAAUUUGUCAAAUUAAUAAUUUGCAAAAUUUAUAGGAUAAUAGAUUAUAAAAAAUUCAUAUAUAUCUGAUAUAAUAAAUAAAUGAAUACUUUCCUAGAAUAUAAUGCUUUUGAUUCGACUAUUAUAAGACCUUCCUAUAAUAUUACUCAAUUAUUGUUGAUUUCUUUAUACUUUUGAGAUGAGAAGUCAUUGUUGUAUAUAUGAUAUAUUUAGUGUUAUCAUUGUUUUUGUUUAUUUAAAUAGAGGUUUUGCUUGAUUAAAUUUCAUGAAAAGGGAAAAUGUAGUAUCAAUGUAGAAUCUACUUUUGGAAAAAAUAAAUAGAUUCAUAAAUAUUACUUGGUUAAAAAUACAUGAAAUUUUUAGAGCAUCUUCAAUGAUGGUUUACAAUUGAGUGUAAAUUGAUGUCUCUAAAAUUACUUUUGCAUUAUCAUUUACAUCCCAAUGGAUUAAAAUCCAAAUUUUGCUCCAGGAAAAAGAUGUAAAUAUACAUUUUAUUUUUAUUUUUUACCUCUUGUGGAUAUUAAAAAGAUGUAAAUAUACAUUUUUUUUUGUCUGCCAAAAAAUGCAAUUAGCAUUCUUUUGCAUAUCUCCAUUAGAGAGGUUUUCUACCACUCUGGACAUCUAAAUCACCAUUUAAAUCUAUUUUAUAAUACCAUUAGAGAUGCAUACAAUAUAUUUUAAGUAAAUAUGGAAAGUCUUGAUAAAUUAAUAAGUUAUUAAUUAAUUUAUAGAUUACUUAAUAUUCGCUAAAUUGAUAGAUUUUUUUCUUGGUCACAACACUAUUAAUUAAUUUCUAGAUGUUUAAUGGUAUCUUUCUUGCACCUAUAUAUAACAUUUAUAUUCUACUAAUUUUCUUACACAUAUGAUAUAAUUAACUUCAUAUUAUUUUUCUGAAAUAGUUGAAAUAUGUGGAUCAAAAGAAAAUUGAUAUUUUUGUAGAGCUUUGAGUUCAUCCUCCACAGCAAGAAGGAUUGAAUUUAACAUAGUUUUAGUUGGGCUAUUGCAUACCGAAGGGACAAGUCAAGAGGAUAAAUCUUGCACUGAGAACUGUCAACAUUGUGGAGAACUUAAAUUUCCUUAAAGAUAGUGAAAUACUCACUCCUCAACAGUAUUGAUUGUUGUAUCACUAAAAUUUCGAUAUUUCAUUCGGAAUUUUUUUUAACAGAGAUACAACUCAACAAAUAAUCCAGUCGGGACAAUAUGUCUAAAUUCAAUAUAUGCAUACCCUAUAUUAAGUAAGAAAUUAAAUAAUAUGUUUGUACAGUUUGACUAUAGCUAACAAAUGUAUCUCGGAUUCUGUUUUCUAGCAAGUUUUCACACUAUCUCACUCAAAAGUAAUUGAGUAAUUAACACUAAUGCUGAUUGAACAGGGUCAUUGACGGCGGCUCCCCAGCCCCUCUCAAAAUUCCUGUCAAGAGCUCCUGUUUGAGUAGCAGAGCUCAAUAAUUAAUCAGUUAAAAAACACGCACGUGUUCUAAUUCUCUUAACUAAUUAUUUUCUGCAAAACUACAGGCUACAAGCCUGCUCGUGAUGUAAUAAUUAACACUUCAUCAAGUUACACAUCUUAUGCUGUCUUGAGAUUCUUGAGUGCUGCUGACUACCUCGUGUAUGCAUAUGCAUACGCCCAUCUGCCACCAUCGAUCGACUGCCUCUCUUUUGGAUAUUUUCUACACUAGUUAUAUAUCUUCUUCAAGAACAAAAUCAACGGUUGGCUAUCAAAUCACUGAAACUGGAUUCGGAUAUGGAUAGAUACUCGCGAACAGACCGUAAUACGCUCUUGGUUUUUGUAUGGGACAUAUUAGCGUCUGCAAUGCAUGUACGGUCUUCUUUUCGCUCUAUCUGAAUUAGUUUUCGACAAGUUAGCGGGAUGGAGAUUAUUCCAUGUAGUUCUUGAGGAGCAAGUAAUGGUUUCGCUAUUUGCAUUCAUCUUCACUAUAAUUGGCGUCGUCAAUGACACCCAAUGGAUGGCGACUGAGGCAAGAACAUUUUAAGGUGGUCGAAGUUCAUUACUCUCAGUUCUCAGUUGGGGAGUCGUUAUUUUCCAGCUGGGGUAUUAUGGAGGCAAAAACCUAUAAUUAAUUACUUCUUAUUUGAAAAUUCUUGAGGCAAAUCAAAUGCUACAUAAACAUAUUGAUUUGUUCAUCCAUCAAACUUGUAGAUUAUGCAUAUCGGGUUAGGUUUUCGUUGUUUAAAAGCAAGAAAAAGCAGAAGGGAAAGGAAAUGCAAAUAAGAAAAAGAGACGCUCGGAAACUUAUUUAUGUAAUCCUCUAAUAUAUUAAAAUAGCACUACAAGUACAUUAGACUACAAAUUCAUAAACUACCUUACUGACAUCAUUUAUAUAUAAUAACACAGAACUAGGGUUUUUUCUGACCAAAACUAGGGUUUAGAUGAAACCACCUAAGAUUUUAUUUAGGCGACUGGGAUCAGACCAUUUUUUCCAUCACCAAAACCUUCCGAUUAUGCAGCCGGAGCGUAGUCAUAGUCACCAUCAUCAUCAUCAUCGUCAUCGUCAUCGUCAUCGUCAUCAUCAUCUCCAUUGAUGAGUUUGUUUCACUCAUGAUUUUCGCACAAUUUUAGUUUGAUUAAAUGCUAGAUUUUAUGAGUAUAGAACGUUUUUGAUGUGUUUGUUAGUGUUGUUUUGAAGAUAAGGAGAAGCGAUGUGAAAAGAAGUAUUAAAGUGGACGAAGAGGCUAAAAACACGAAAUUGGGGCAGAAAGACGGCGCUUAGACGCUGCACUCAUAGCGCCUAGGCGCUACGAAACGAAAAAAAGAUGAAAUUUGGACCUAAGAGGUAGCGCCACAACCAAAGCGCCUAAGAGCUACCAGCGUAGCGCCUAGGCGCUGAAGAGACAGCCCCCAGGCUCUAUAGCUAGCGCUUAAGCGCUGUCUUAUAGCGCCUAGGAGUUGCGAUUGACGAUUUAGGGCGCGUUUUUGGGCCGUUUUUAAAUUCAUAAAAACCCUACUUCUACAUAAAAACGGAGGGGCACCUAUAAAUACAUCUUCCUCAUACUUUUGAAAGGUUCUUGACAUAUUGGAGAGAAAACAACAAGAAGGGAGAUUCAAAGGAGAAAUUCAAGAAGAUUAACACCAAGAAUUGAAGAUUGGAAGCAUUCAUUGGAAGAAGAAGGAGAUCUUGGUGUAAGAAUUUCACUUUUUCUUCUACAUCUUUAUUUCAAACUCGGUGAUGUAUUCUAAGACAAAUUCCUUCUUUUCUUCUUGUAUUAUGAGUAACUAAAUUCAUUGUUAGGGGGAAUAAUGUAACCAAUUGGGAUCUUUUGCAUUUUCUUAUUAAGACUUUCAGUUUUUAAUUCUUCCAUGCGUUGAUUUUGCUAUGAGUUGAAUGCAUUAAAUUACCUGAUCAAUAAUUUGAUGAUUUUUGUGAAUUCUUUACAAAUAGAGAUAUGAGUAUAGAAUUUAGACCAUGUAGAAAAUCCAAUACAUUGGUAUAACGAGUAGAGAUACCUAUACCAUUUAUUGCGGUCAUAAUUGAAUUCCUAAAACAUAGAACUCGUUUAACUAAGUUGAAUUUGCAUAGAGAUAUGAAAUUUAAUUAGUUAAAUAGGCUCAAUGAGAACUCGAGAGGGGUAAAUUGAAUACAAUAGAAGAAUUCGACCGAGUACUACAUUAGAAUUGAGUUUUAAUUUGAGAUGUAAAUGUGAUCAAUUGGUGAAGUUGUUCUACCCUAACAUCCAUUCAUUAUUUGAUUCUCCAACAAAUUGUGUGAACAUUCAUUUAUUUUCUAAAAUUUAGAUUAAAGCCUAGAUAUUAUAACCUUUGAUUUAUAUUCGUCAAAUAGUAGUUAAAGAAACAUUAAAUUAAGCGCUAGAAAAUAGUCCUUGUGGAAUCAAUAACCUGACUCUUAGGUCCACUAUUACUUAUUACGGGUCGUACACUUGCGAAACAAAAUUAUACAACAAGUUUUUGUCUCCAUCCCCAUCGUCAGUUUUUAAUAUUGGCAUAUUAUGAAGAUGACUAUGAAGAAUACUGCUAUCUCCAUGAAGAUCGUGGAGCAACUUGUACUUGAAGCUAAUAAUCUCUAAGAAAGAAAUCAUUUUCGCUUCUAACAAAAUUGAGGCAAAGGGAAUAUUUAGACACGCUGUAAUGGGAAGAAAAUUAAAG
Molecule: long non-coding RNA, 5408 nt
Filed under: Olea europaea (common olive)
Lineage: Eukaryota; Viridiplantae; Streptophyta; Magnoliopsida; Lamiales; Oleaceae
Description: long non-coding RNA (OEUR_LNC009661)
Source: RNAcentral